CAAGUAGCGUGCAGGAUGACGGCCCUAUGGGUUGUAAACUGCUUUUAUAAGGGAAUAAAGUGAGUCUCGUGAGACUUUUUGCAUGUACCUUAUGAAUAAGGACCGGCUAAUUCCGUGCCAGCAGCCGCGGUAAUACGGAAGGUCCGGGCGUUAUCCGGAUUUAUUGGGUUUAAAGGGAGCGUAGGCCGGAGAUUAAGCGUGUUGUGAAAUGUAGAUGCUCAACAUCUGCACUGCAGCGCGAACUGGUUUCCUUGAGUACGCACAAAGUGGGCGGAAUUCGUGGUGUAGCGGUGAAAUGCUUAGAUAUCACGAAGAACUCCGAUUGCGAAGGCAGCUCACUGGAGCGCAACUGACGCUGAAGCUCGAAAGUGCGGGUAUCGAACAGGAUUAGAUACCCUGGUAGUCCGCACGGUAAACGAUGGAUGCCCGCUGUUGGUCUGAAUAGGUCAGCGGCCAAGCGAAAGCAUUAAGCAUCCCACCUGGGGAGUACGCCGGCAACGGUGCAACUCAAAUGAAUU
RNAcentral lists this ribosomal RNA (518 nucleotides) under uncultured organism. RNAcentral's name for it is "bacterial SSU rRNA". It matches the Rfam family "Bacterial small subunit ribosomal RNA", at positions 393 to 911 of the family's 1533-position model. The record is from RNAcentral.